AAAAGAAGGGGUAUUAAAAAAGACAGUACAACAAGCAAGUCACUAUAAUAAUUGUUUGGAAUUUGAGCCAUAUAAGUUCACAGGACAGCCAUACAAUGGAGAAUAGUACAAUUUAGAAAAUGAAGAAGAUGACUAGGCAUAUUUCUGUUAUAUAAUAUUCUUAAAACAGAAAAUCUCAGUUGAAUCUAAAGGAGAUGGUCAUUCUAUAUAAUAAGUUUCACCAGUCCAUUACCACCGU
RNAcentral lists this unclassified non-coding RNA (238 nucleotides) under Hevea brasiliensis (rubber tree). Lineage: Eukaryota; Viridiplantae; Streptophyta; Magnoliopsida; Malpighiales; Euphorbiaceae. The record is from RNAcentral.